RNAcentral lists this long non-coding RNA (1904 nucleotides) under Aotus nancymaae (Ma's night monkey). RNAcentral describes it as "lncRNA (ENSANAG00000038687.1)". Lineage: Eukaryota; Metazoa; Chordata; Mammalia; Primates; Aotidae. The record is from RNAcentral.
AGGUUGGCAUGCUUCUGGAGUCUCCAAAGCAGAAAUGACCACAUGCAUUUAAACAACAUCUUUGCAACAUUCCUUUUACAUGAAGAAAGCCACUAAGAACCUAAAAUGACUGGCACAUGGGAAUUCAUAACUAACUAUAUUGAGAGGCGUGUUCUUUGCCGAGGCCAUGGCCUUGUAGAUUUAGUGCAACACCAAAAUAAAGUAAAGUACCCGGUGAGCACCAUCUUUCCUGGGCGCAGUCUGAAAAGACCUCUUUCAGACUGGAAAAAGCCGUGCACCCUCCUCUCUUCAAUAUGAAAAUAAGUGAUGCACCCAUGUUGCCUACCUUGACAUGCUCCGAGCUCCACAUGGCUGGCAAGAUAAUCACCUACCACGCCCUCACCGGCCCACAAACACAUCUCCACACGCUGCGGCUGAAUCCCCCCAGUGUGGUUCACCCUUUAGGGAGCCAGCCACCCUCUCCUCCGGGACCACUGGGCAGGGACAGCGCCCUCCCCGACAGAGCCCAACCUCAGCACGCACAAGUUCUUGGUCUGCAAGUUUCUUCCCUCAAGGCAGCACCUAAGGAGAGAGGUCUCUCCAGGGAGCUGGUAGAGAAGAUGAUGUUGGAGGGCGGGAGGCAGCAAUGCAAGUGACCGUCGCCCUGGUCCCGGGUGAUGGAAGUGAAGAACAAGGAGGACAGCAGGGAAGAUGAAGGGCGGUGGGACUCGGUGCAUGGUCCUGGACCCGGGGCUGAGCAGACUCACUGGGGCAGAGGAGCAGGUCAGACUGUCCCGAGGCUGCCUGGCCUCACCCUAAAGCCGAGGAAGGAAAGCAAGGCACCCGAAUGCCUCUGGCCCGACCUGUGGGAGCUGGAGCCUCGUGGGGAGCGAAUGAGGCAGGGGAGGCAGACACAGAAAGACGCUGCCCAGCCAGGCCUCUGGGCUUCUGGGUGCCUAGACUUAGGAGUCCCGGGGAGCCUGACACUGCCCAGCCUGGCUUGCAGCUCCUCUGGUAACAACAGAAGCAGCUGGAAAGACCCCUGGGAACCCACGUUCCCGAUAGGUUGGGGUCCUUCCCAGCAAAGACCGCACCCCAGCCCCACCCGGACCCUCUACCCAGACCGUCACCCUGGCCUUCCUUGCCCAGAGGACAAGGAUUGCACGUCAGGAGGUCUUUAGAGAUGCAACGCACUCCCCUUGUUUAGCUUCCUGGGAGACAUACUAGCAAGAAAAUGUCUAUGAGCUAAGUUACAAACAAUCUGUCUUUCUAAGAAGAAUAAUUAAUCGAAUGCCAAAUAGGAGGCACCAGAGUUCUGAAUAAAUGCAGAGACAGUUAGAAGAGCAAAACAUUAUCAUUUGUCCAGCAUAAUUAUUUUCUUGGAAACUGUCAGUGAUUAAUAAGGUGCAUUAUAAAUAUGCUCUUGUGAUCACGUUCUCUCUCUCCCACCUAAUUAACAUGCCAGGGAAUUGCUCUUUUGGUGGGUAAAGACAUUUAAAAUAUAUAUUUCAUGAAAUCUGAGCUAUCUGUCAUAACCUCCAAGAGGAACAAAUAAAAUAUGGAGAAUGCUACAGUCAUUUAAAUCCUUUAUUACAUGGCAGUGUUUACAUAAAUUAGUUCUUCUGGUUCUGCAGAAGAUCGUGUGCCGCAGGACAUGGAGAGUGGCGGGGCACACUCUGCCAGCCCCCGGACCCAGUGUCCACUUCCUUCACGUCCCAGUUUCAGUCCAAGCAACACACACAGGCAGCCACCGAGACCCAUGUCCGGAGCCCCUGCAAGACCAAGUCCCUCUCCGGGUCCACACACCCGCCCCGCAGAGCCUGGGGAAAUGCCACUGUCUGCCCCCUAUGGGUGGGGAAACUGAGUCGGGGCUGUGGGGCUGUGUGUUUAUCACUCCCACACCAAGAGGAGAGAGGGAUGGGAAA